Molecule: non-coding RNA, 2241 nt
Organism: Macaca mulatta (Rhesus monkey)
Lineage: Eukaryota; Metazoa; Chordata; Mammalia; Primates; Cercopithecidae
Source: RefSeq, a predicted model, not a curated record
CUGGGCCCUGCUGACCCGGGCAAGGCCCCACUGUGAUGCGUGCCAUGACCUCACAAUGUCACUGGUGCUUAGCACCAAUCCGCUCUCCGGCCUGCCUCUGUGUUCUACGGCAGUUACACGUGCACAGUGGUAUCAGCUACACACGCACAGUGGUAUCUGGGAACAGUUUUGUGGACUCAAAGGUUUUCUACCUGAGAGGCAUAACGCAGGUCAGCCGAUUCAUCAGAAUCAGGAUGGUAAUCAUAGAGGAUGCAGAUAGUUUGCGGGCACAGGAGCGAGAGAAUAUCAUCAUCAACUAUGAGAAGGGACACCGAGCUGGGCUGCCAGAGGACAUGGGGCCUGAGCCUGUUGGAAUCUACAACAACAUUGAUCGCUUUGGGAUUGUGCAUGAGACAGAGCUGCCUCCUGCCACUGCUCGGGAGGCUAAGCAAAUGUGGCGGGAGAUAACACGAAAGAGCAAGUGGAUGGAAAUGCUGCGACAAUGGGAGACAUAUAAGAACAGUAGAAAGCUGAUAGAUCGAGUAUAUAAGGGCAUUCCCAUGAACUUCAGGGGCCAAGUGUGGUCAGUCCUGCUGAACAUACAGGAAGUAAGUGAAAAACCCCAGAACAUACAAGGUCAUGAAGGAGAAGGGCAAGAGGUCAUCUGAACACAUCCACCAGAUCGACCUGGACGUGAGCGAGACACUAAGGACUCACAUCUUCUUCAGGGAUCGAUACGGAACCAAGCAGCGGGAACUAUUCUACAUCCUCCUGGCAUAUUCGGAGUAUAACCCGGAGGCGGGCUACUGCAGGGACCUGAGCCACAUCGCGGCCUUGUUUCUCCUUUAUCUGCCUGAGGAGGAUGCAUUCUGGGCACUGGUGCAGCUGCUGGCCAGUGAGAGGCAAUCCCUGCAAGGAUUCCACAGCCCAAAUGGCGGGACAGUCCAGCGGCUCCAAGACCAUCAGGAGCAUGUGGUCCCCACGUCACAACCCAAGACCAUGUGGCGUCUGGACAAGGAAGGUCUUUUCACGCAGAGUUCCUCAUUAGGCUGGCUUCUCCAGAUGUUGAAUGACGGGAUCUCUCUUGGGCUCAUCCUGCGCCUGUGGGACGUGUAUUUGCUGGAAGGAGAACAGGUGUUGAUGCCGAUGACAAGCAUUGCCUUUAAAGUUCGGAGGAAGCGCCUCACGAAGACGUCCAGGUGUGGCCUGUGGGCACGGUUUCGGAACCAGUUCUUCCAUACCUGGGAGUUGGAUGAUGACUCUGUGCUCAAGCAUCUUAGGGCCUCUAUGAAGAAACUAACAAGGAAGCAAGGGGACCUGCCACCCCCAGCCAAACCCGAGCAAGGGUCCUCAACACCCAGGCCUGUGCUGGCUUCACAUGGCAGGAUGAUCCUCUGCAAGGGGGACAGACAGGCCCCUCCAGGCCCACCAGCCCGGUUCCAGCGGCCCAUUUGGCUAGUUUCCCCACCAUGGGCACCUCGUUCUUCCACAUCCUGUCCUGGUGGGGCUGUCCGGGAAGACACCUACCCUGUGGGCACUUGGGGUGUGCCCAGCCCGGCCCCGGCUCAGGGAAGACCUCAGGGUUCCUGGAGAUUCCUGGAGUGGAACUCGAUGCCCCGGCUCCCGACGGACCUGGAUGUAGGGGGCCCUUGGUUCCCCCAUUAUGAUUUCGAACAGAGCUGUUGGGUGCGUAAUGGCACCGUAUCCCAGGAAGACCAGCUGGCCACCUGCUGGCAGGCGGAACACCCUGCGGAGGGGGUGAGAUUGAUUUUCACUGCACUGAGCCACAGUGUGGACAUGGACUUCCAGCCCUGCACUGCACCCAGCACUGAUUCCAACCAGGACACCCCCGUCGCAGCUAGGGACGAGCAGCAGUGCGCUCCCACCUCAGGGCCUUGCCUCUGCCGCCUCUACUUGGAAAAUUCUCAGUUCCCUCCAGGCUUCUAGAAGCAUCUAGGGCAGGGCUCAUGGCUGGAUAACUUCCUGAGGCUUAACAACCCAAGCAAACUUCACGUCCUCAUUUUAUUUUUUGUUAAACUUAUGAAAAUUGAUUAAGAAAGUGUGCAGCUCGAAAGACCUUCACAGAUGGAACACACCAGCCCCCAGAUCACAAAGCCAACCAUGCCCAGCCCCUCCCAGCACCCCCAGCCGUGUGACCAGCUUUCUGAAUUCCCACAACACCGUGUGCCUGCCUUUGUGUUUUCAACUCAUAGAUGAUUAACCCCCUUCAUGUUUUAAAAUAAAUGUUUUCUGUUGAAAUUA